GGGCCAUGGCUUAGUGGUAGAGCAUGAUGUGCUUUGCAUGCAGAAGGUGCCAGGUUCAUUCCUUGGCAUGUCCA
Non-coding RNA from Podarcis lilfordi (Lilford's wall lizard), 74 nucleotides. The record is from the annotation of a GenBank genome assembly. NCBI's taxonomy places the organism in Eukaryota, Metazoa, Chordata, Lepidosauria, Squamata, Lacertidae.